Fundulus heteroclitus (mummichog) is the source of this 2557-nucleotide long non-coding RNA. RefSeq lists it as uncharacterized. NCBI's taxonomy places the organism in Eukaryota, Metazoa, Chordata, Actinopteri, Cyprinodontiformes, Fundulidae. The transcript has 3 exons. The record is from RefSeq and is a predicted model, not a curated record.
AAAAUAUCAUUUAUACGUUUUCCUCGAGUACAACUCCACUUGAUGGCCACAGUGUCUCAUCGGUGCCUUAGGUAUCUAUUGGGAUAACAACAUCUUGUCCUACUCAACAGAUCUGAUCAUCUGGUUAACCAGUGACUGCUGUGAAAGUGCAGCUGGCAACAAGGGGAAGACCUUGUGACAGCAUGGAAAGACAGCUGACAGGAGGGAAUAGACCUCACCGGGGCCACCAUGUGCUAGCUACCCAUGAUGGCGGGAUCCAGCACGUGUGGUGUAUGGGUUCCACCCAAACUUGGCUACAAAGAAUUCUAAAAGGAAAACACCCCCAGAGCCUGCGAGAGCGUGGGCGGAAGAUGGCUCACUGACUGACAACCCGGUAACAAACACAGGAACGGAACAGACUACAAGAAUGAUGAUCAGCAUAACUGAGGCUCCGAUAGGUACAGCAGAACUGCGUAUGUGGCUGGACAAAGGUUACUACCACACGUUGCCUGCAAAUACAUCAGGGCAAGAGGAAAUGUCUAACUAAGGGUCAACAGGGAAGUCGCAUCGAUCACUACUUCUUGAGAAGCAGACCGAAUCAGUCGACGGAAGUUCUACAGCAGGAUGCACACCACAGUUUGCAGGACAUCAACACCCCAGCCCAUGAGGAGGAGGCACAAAGCACUGCAAAGCAACCUGAAACCAGCACAUCACGCCCCCCAACAGAGAAGAAGAUCUCGGGGAGAAGGUCGUUAGUCAAGUGGCCAAAAUCCUGCGACAAAACAGUGUGGAGGGAGGUCAACACUGAUCUCUGCAACAUCUUACAAGUGGUCAGAGGCACCACCCUGAAGAUGCUGGAAAGAAUGGGUAACCUGAUCUAUGACUAUGGUUCGGAGCGGUUCGGAGUGGUCAAAGGCAAACGAUCUACUCCGACAAUCUCUACCAAGUCCCGAAGGCAGACAGAGAUAGACAGGCUAGUGAAGGAGAGGAGGCAGCUGAAGAAGCAGUGGAGGAAGGCCACGGAGGAGGAAAAGGAUGGAAUAAACGUACUGCAGGAAGAGAUCAAGGGCAGGCUUGUAACUCUGAGAAGAGCAGAGAAUCUCUUGAAGAAGCGCAGAAGGAAAGAUUAAGCAAGAUCGUGCUUCUACAAAGAUCCCUUCAAAUUUGUGAAGAGUCUCUUCACAAAGGAGAAGAGUGGAAGUAUCUCUGUGUCAAACGCUGUCUUAGAAGAACACCUGAAAAGAACUUGCACAGAUGAACGACACCAGGAAAAGGUUACACUCCCAUCCAGGUGGAGUGAAGUAGAAAAAAACUGUGCAUAGAGCAAGGGCUGCUAGGUAGUCCCUGACCUCAGUUUGUCACCCGCAGACUAACGGUCAGACAGAAUGGCUGAACCAGGAGCUGGUGACCGCUCUCCGUUGCCUUACCUCCUCCAAUCCCUCCGACUGGUGUCAAUACCUUCCCUGGGUCGAAUAUGCCCGCAUCUCCCCCUACGAGGCCUCUCUGGGGUAUCAACCACCUCUCCUCCCCGAUGACCACAAAGAGAUAGCAGUACCAUCCGUGGUACUGCUAUCUGUCUACCAUCUGUAGACAGAUCUGGACCCAGACCAUCCGUCUCCUAAACCAAACCGCAGAGCAAAACCGUCGCUUUGCUGACCGGAGAUGUGUUCCUGCUUCUACCUACCACCCCUGUCAAAAAGUCUGGCUAUCCACCUGAGACCUCUCAUCCAGAUCCACCUGUCGGAAGUUAUCACCACGCUUCACUGGCCCCUACGAGUACAUCUCAGUCCUCAGCCCCACAACCAUCCGACUCCGUCUCCCGUCACACUCCAGAGCCCAUCCAACCUUCCACGUGUCGCAAAUCAAGCCUGUCCUUUCGAGACAGUUAUAUCCUCCGGCUGAGCCCCCUCCACCCGUCCUGGACCUCCUGGGACGUCAGGUCCAAAGGAUCGUGGCCUCCCGUCGGCGUGGUAGAGGGUACCAAUAACUGGUCGACUGGAUUCCCAGUUCCUCCUUCGCGGACCGAUACUUAAUUUAAUCUUUCCUCUCCUCCAGUCCUUCCAUGUCUUCUUCGAGGUCGACGGGUGGCGACCGUUGGGGGGGGGGGGGGUGUCAGGACUGGGGCAGAGCCAUGCUGUUUGCUGGCUCUGCCCCAGUGUGCUUUUCUCCGCAGGUGUUUUAAAUUGACUGGUGGGCGGGGCACGCACACCAGGGAUUGGUUCAGAAGCAUCUCGCCGCGCUAUAAGAACUGCGUGCGGACAGCAGGAGGAUGCCAGGAUGUUAUCAGUCGUGGUUUCCUUCCGAGUGCUCACGUUACCUUCCUGAAGGAUCCUGCCCGAGCAACCUCCACACUGAGUCCACCUCUCAAGCUCUCCACUCACCCCGAGUCAGUCUGUACCUCCUGCUGCCCUGGAUCUCUGGAUCGGCGACGCUGCUCGGACCACACUCUGCCUAUGCCCUUCGGUCUCUGGAGAACCUGCUUCCAACAACUAGAGCACGCUGAGUCCCUACCGUCCUCCCCCGGUCCGGUUGCCGCGUCCGGUGUCUUGGUCGUUGUCGUCUCUGAUCAGGCCCACCA